Molecule: long non-coding RNA, 869 nt
Filed under: Gallus gallus (chicken)
Lineage: Eukaryota; Metazoa; Chordata; Aves; Galliformes; Phasianidae
Description: lncRNA (ENSGALG00010006943.1)
Source: RNAcentral
AAAUACAUACCCUGGGUGAACCUAACAGGAUGCAAGAGGCCAUCUGAGCUGCACUCUUCAAACCCACAGGAAACCCUCCUCUACUAUGUCCCGAGAACAAAGCCUCCUCCAGUCAUGUUGAUAAGAUGGAUCUUGUUGUACAGCCUUCUAGUAAGGCUGGCUCAGAGCAACAAUCAAGAUUCUGAAAAGUCUGAAAACAUCACCACACCUUCAUCAAAAAUUUUAGAUGCCUCUACUAAGUCAAAAGAACAUGGAAAACACAAGACAUUGCACAUUAUUUAUGCUUCAGUACCCGUGGGUCUAUGUUGUCCAUUCAUCUUCAUAUGCGUGUUUUGGAGUCUAAGGAGGUACUAUGGAAAGCGUAAGAGAACUCCAUCAGCACCACAGAGACAAGAGAGCCGGUUUAAAAUGUGGAGUAGGAUUGGAGACAGGUUUAAUUGUGCUGCCUGGAAAGAAUGGCUUCCCUGGCAUGAGGUAUCACCUUGCCUGAGCUGAAGGGAAAGAACUCAGCAUUUUUGCCACAAAGGUCAGAAGGCUAUCAGCUCUUCCAUCCCACGCUGAUGGGACAACUCCAGAUACAGAUGAAAGCUCCUCACUUUACUGUUCCAUGUCUAGCCCACCUCAGCUCUUGCCUGUCAACAAGAUUUAUGACAGUGUUCCUCAACGUAAUGCUCAGGAGACAGCAUCUAACUCACCUUCUAAUGAUCCUUCCAUCCCAGCUUCACUUGAAAGCCAAGAUGUCCUCAUAUAUGCCUCACUAAACCAUUCUGCUUCUACAAAUAAAUACCAGAGAAGGAAGUUCUCUAUAGAAAAUGAAUUUAUAGAAUAUGCCUCUAUUAAGGUAAAUAAAUAAAUACGGCAGACUUCAC